This is a long non-coding RNA of Protopterus annectens (West African lungfish), 183 nucleotides long. RefSeq lists it as uncharacterized. NCBI's taxonomy places the organism in Eukaryota, Metazoa, Chordata, Ceratodontiformes, Protopteridae. The transcript has 3 exons. The record is from RefSeq and is a predicted model, not a curated record.
GACUUGGAAGAGAGAGCCUGUCUAGUAUACUGCAGACAUCUCUCACAGCAUAGGUUCACUAAGUCUAGUCUGUGCGGUGGUGGUUCUUCUGUGGACUUGGAAGAGAGAGCCUGUGUAGUAUACUGCAGACAUCUCUCACAGCAUAGGUUCACUACAUCUAGCCUGUGCGGUGGUGGUUCUACU